This is a non-coding RNA of Oncorhynchus mykiss (rainbow trout), 1366 nucleotides long. The record is from the annotation of a RefSeq genome assembly. Lineage: Eukaryota; Metazoa; Chordata; Actinopteri; Salmoniformes; Salmonidae.
AACGAGAGAUGCAGUAUCACUGAAGAGAGGACAAAUGAGAGGAGAGGAGAGAUUGAGUAUUUUUAGAGCAACUGUACUUUGGGGUGGAGCUUGUAGCGAAACUAAGCAGGAACGAUCAACAGAAAACAUUUGCAGAUUCAUUUGGUUUGGAGUUUUCAGGUUCUGUUGUGCUAUUAGUCAGUUUGACAUCCAACCAUAGCCAUGUUGUUCAUCUGGUCAAUUAUUACGUUCUCAGUAAUAGGUGGCAGUUAUGAGCAGACUAUAGAGCCAAACCAACAUGAAGUGUAUGCAGAAGUGGGUAGUAAUGUUCUUCUUUCCUGCAACUACUCCUCAGCAGAAAGUCUACUAUGGUAUAAACAGUCUCCAGGAUCAGCUCCCCAAUACCUUCUGCUCAUCCCACACUACAGUGGGGCUGGACAGAGAGCUGAUUCUCUUGACUCUCGCUUCUCUGGUAAACUGAACAAAGAGAAGACCCGUGUGGAUCUGGAGAUCUCCUCUGCUGAAGAGACAGACUCUGCUAUGUACUACUGUGCUCUGAAGCCCACAGUGACAGGAAACCCAGAAACACUGUACAAAAACUUAACAUCGCCUGAGAGAGUUUCUACACUGUAGUUACAGGUUUCAUUUGACAAUAGCGCCAUCAAGUGGAGUCAAUAUGCAGCCAUUAUAUUGUGUCAAGAGGAGGAACUUAGUUUUACAAAUCAUGUGUCAUGAGAGGAACUGAGUGAAUGUUCCAAGAGAAGAUCAUUUAACAGAGAAGUCUCUGUCUCACACCCAGUCGCUAUGAUGCUGCUCUUUUCAGUCUUGUUUUUGUGCACUUAUAUGUAAGAAUUCCCUGUCAUUAACUGAAUGUGUACAAACAGAAUGUACAAUGUUCAGCAUUCAUUACAAUAUGGUAUUAUGAAUAUCAAGAGGUAAAACACUUUGAAACACCAAGUGUGUAUAUAUUGUACGCUGUCUAAAUUUACUCAGUGAUCCAAAUUUUAUUUUUUACAGGACAUAAUUUCUCCAGAUUUAGUGGAUGUUAUGGAGGGUAGUAGUGUUAAACUCUCCUGUAGAUACAACAGCUCAUUAACCAACAGUCUGUUAUGGUACCUCCAGCAACCUGGAUCCUCUCUACAGUUCCUCAUUCUGGACUUCUCUGGGAUCAUAACCAACACUGAUAGUACAAAAUGGACCCUCACACAUGAAGAAGAGGAAAACCGUGUGGAUCUGGAGAUCUCCUCUGCUGAAGUGACAGACUCUGCUCUGUAAUACUGUACACUGAAGCCCACAGUGACAGGAAACCCAGAUACACAGUAAAAAAACUGAUCUUGACCAGUGGUGUAAAGGAAUUAAGUUAAAAUACUGUAAAGUACUACUUAAU